Molecule: ribosomal RNA, 494 nt
Filed under: uncultured bacterium
Lineage: Bacteria
Description: partial 16S ribosomal RNA
Rfam family: Bacterial small subunit ribosomal RNA
Source: RNAcentral
GACGAACGCUGGCGGCGUGCUUAACACAUGCAAGUCGAACGGUGAAGCGCCUUCCUUUUUGGUGGGUGUGGAUGAGUGGCGAACGGGUGAGUAACACGUGAGUAACCUGCCCCUUUCUUCUGGAUAACCGCAUGAAAGUGUGGCUAAUACGGGAUAUUCUGGGUCUCUCGCAUGAUGGGUCUGGGAAAGAUAUUGUUUCGGUGGGGGAUGGGCUCGCGGCCUAUCAGCUUGUUGGUGGGGUGAUGGCCUACCAAGGCGGUGACGGGUAGCCGGCCUGAGAGGGUGGACGGUCACACUGGGAAUGAGACACGGCGCAGACUCCGACGGGAGGCAGCAGUGGGGAAUAUUGCACAAUGGGCGCAAGCCUGAUGCAGCGACGCCGCGUGAGGGAUGGAGGCCUUCGGGUUGUGAACCUCUUUCGCCAGUGAAGCAGGCCUGCCUCGUUUGUGGGUGGGUUGACGGUAGCUGGAUAAGAAGCGCCGGCUAACUACGUG